RNAcentral lists this ribosomal RNA (810 nucleotides) under Vibrio sp. HM-BE06. RNAcentral describes it as "bacterial SSU rRNA". It matches the Rfam family "Bacterial small subunit ribosomal RNA", at positions 40 to 829 of the family's 1533-position model. Lineage: Bacteria; Pseudomonadati; Pseudomonadota; Gammaproteobacteria; Vibrionales; Vibrionaceae. The record is from RNAcentral.
CGGCAGGCCUAACACAUGCAAGUCGAGCGGAAACGAGUUAUCUGAACUUGGGGGACGAUAACGGCGUCGAGCGGCGGACGGGUGAUUUUAUGCCUAGGAAAUUGCCCUGGUGUGGGGGAUAACCAUUGGAAACGAUGGCUAAUACCGCAUAAUACCUACGGGUCAAAGAGGGGGACCUUCGGGCCUCUCGCGUCAGGAUAUGCCUAGGUGGGAUUAGCUAGUUGGUGAGGUAAUGGCUCACCAAGGCGACGAUCCCUAGCUGGUCUGAGAGGAUGAUCAGCCACACUGGAACUGAGACACGGUCCAGACUCCUACGGGAGGCAGCAGUGGGGAAUAUUGCACAAUGGGCGCAAGCCUGAUGCAGCCAUGCCGCGUGUGUGAAGAAGGCCUUCGGGUUGUAAAGCACUUUCAGUCGUGAGGAAGGUAGUGUAGUUAAUAGCUGCAUUAUUUGACGUUAGCGACAGAAGAAGCACCGGCUAACUCCGUGCCAGCAGCCGCGGUAAUACGGAGGGUGCGAGCGUUAAUCGGAAUUACUGGGCGUAAAGCGCAUGCAGGUGGUUUGUUAAGUCAGAUGUGAAAGCCCGGGGCUCAACCUCGGAAUAGCAUUUGAAACUGGCAGACUAGAGUACUGUAGAGGGGGGUAGAAUUUCAGGUGUAGCGGUGAAAUGCGUAGAGAUCUGAAGGAAUACCGGUGGCGAAGGCGGCCCCCUGGACAGAUACUGACACUCAGAUGCGAAAGCGUGGGGAGCAAACAGGAUUAGAUACCCCUGGUAGUCCACCCCGUAAACGAUGUCUACUUUGGAGGUUGUG